Molecule: ribosomal RNA, 578 nt
Filed under: uncultured bacterium
Lineage: Bacteria
Description: bacterial SSU rRNA
Rfam family: Bacterial small subunit ribosomal RNA
Source: RNAcentral
CCUACGGGAGGCAGCAGUAAGGAAUAUUGGUCAAUGGACGGAAGUCUGAACCAGCCAUCCCGCGUGCAGGAAGAAGGUCCUAUGGAUUGUAAACUGCUUUUAGCAGAGACGAAGACCUUUCAUUUAUGAGAGAGUGACGGUAUCUGCGGAAUAAGCACCGGCUAACUCCGUGCCAGCAGCCGCGGUAAUACGGAGGGUGCAAGCGUUAUCCGGAAUCACUGGGUUUAAAGGGUGCGUAGGCGGGGGAUUAAGUCAGUGGUGAAAGCCUGUAGCUUAACUACAGAAUUGCCAUUGAUACUGAUUUUCUUGAAUUGGGUUGAGGUUAGCGGAAUGUGACAUGUAACGGUGAAAUGUUUAGAUAUGUCAUGGAACACCGAUUGCGAAGGCAGCUAGCUGGGCCUUGAUUGACGCUGAGGCACGAAAGCGUGGGUAGCGAACAGGAUUAGAUACCCUGGUAGUCCACGCCCUAAACGAUGCUAACUCGAUGUUUGGAUUUAGGUUUGAGCAUCCAAGGGAAACCGAUAAGUUAGCCACCUGGGGAGUACGACCGCAAGGUUGAAACUCAAAUGAAUUGACGG